ACAACGACGGUUCGUUCGGUCGAUACAAGGAGAACGGACGAAUAUCUUGUAUUUAUAAAUAAGCUUUGGUGUGAAUUGUUGCAGUUUAAGGUUGUAAGUCUGAAGAAGAAUUAGUUGCAAUCCAGUAAAGGAAUAAUAAAUGCUGCUUCAGCUCUCCGCCAACAGACGUCGUCAGAAACUGAUUAUUUGAAUGGAAAAGGACAAGAAUUUUUAAAGGAGGGGGAACUACUCUAGUGAACAAAUUGCAUAAUCAACUUAUUUGUUUAGGAUUGUUAGCGGGUCUCUCUAUCAUAUAGUCACACAUAUACACACCCAUAUAUACAUCCAUACUUAUACACAUAUAUAUUAAGUAUUGAGCAUAUAAACAAAAGCAACAGGCUUUAAGGACAUAAAAAUAAUCCAUAAACUUUUCGAGUGGACAGAAUUAUCACAAGGCUGGUUACACAUAAAAACAAGAAAUAAAAAGAAAAAACUCAAAAUUUUUUUCUCUCACUCAAUCAUUGGUAUUUUGUAUUGCAGAUCGGGCGAUUUGUAUCUAUUCGAGUUAAUACAGUUGUCUCGUUACUGGCAUCUUCCUGUGCCGCUAUCAAAGACAUAUCUUGGUGGCUCAAUAAAUGGUGCCUUUACGGUAUCGUCCCACUUGCUAGAAACUGCAGCCAACUUUUCUCAAAUCACACCUUAUCCUACGAUAAAAAAAAAAAAAGAAAAACGUAUCGGAUACUGUAUUUCGUUUUAUAAAAAUAAGAAAUAAAAACGUGUAUUUUUUUUUAUCCUUUCGUGACUAAAUGCAAAAUUA
Octopus bimaculoides (California two-spot octopus) is the source of this 796-nucleotide long non-coding RNA. The record is from RefSeq and is a predicted model, not a curated record. Lineage: Eukaryota; Metazoa; Mollusca; Cephalopoda; Octopoda; Octopodidae.